Molecule: ribosomal RNA, 590 nt
Filed under: Acaulospora delicata
Lineage: Eukaryota; Fungi; Glomeromycota; Glomeromycetes; Diversisporales; Acaulosporaceae
Description: partial 18S ribosomal RNA
Rfam family: Eukaryotic small subunit ribosomal RNA
Source: RNAcentral
GUGUACAAGUGGUAUAUAUUAGCACACUCCUCGUGUACAUGCAAUAAGGGUUCGAAUCCGGAGAGGGAGCCUGAGAAAGGCUACCACAUCCAAGGAAGGCAGCAGGCGCGCAAAUUACCCAAUCCCAACACGGGGAGGUAGUGACAAUAUGUAACAAUAUACGGCCUUAUACGUCGUAUAAUUGGAAUGAGUACAAUUUAAAUCCCUUAACGAGGAACAAUUGGAGGGCAAGUCUGGUGCCAGCAGCCGCGGUAAUUCCAGCUCCAAUAGCGUAUAUUAAAGUUGUUGCAGUUAAAAAGCUCGUAGUUGGACCUUGGACCUGGACAGGCGGUCCGCCUCACGGCGAGUACUGUCUUGCGGGGUCUUUCCUCUUGGUGAUCUGUUGUUUCGGCAGCAGGGAACCAGGACCUUUACUUUGAAAAAAUUAAAGUGUUCAAAGCGGGCUCGACGCCCUAUUUUUUUUAUCAUGGGAUAAUAAAAUAAGACAUGCGGUUCUAUUUUGGUUUGUUUUUGGAAUCGCCGGCAUGAGUAAAAAAGGGGCAGAGCGGGGGGGGUUGGGGGGGCACAAAUGGAGAAGGUGAAAUUCUUGG